This 496-nucleotide ribosomal RNA is filed under the name uncultured bacterium. Its description in RNAcentral is "partial 16S ribosomal RNA". It matches the Rfam family "Bacterial small subunit ribosomal RNA", at positions 28 to 507 of the family's 1533-position model. The record is from RNAcentral.
GAUGAACGCUGGCGGCGUGCCUAAUACAUGCAAGUCGAGCGAACGGACGAGAAGCUUGCUUCUCUGAUGUUAGCGGCGGACGGGUGAGUAACACGUGGAUAACCUACCUAUAAGACUGGGAUAACUUCGGGAAACCGUAGCUAAUACCGGAUAAUAUUUUGAACCCAUGGUUCAAAAGUGAAAGACGGUCUUGCUGUCACUUAUAGAUGGAUCCGCGCUGCAUUAGCUAGUUGGUAAGGUAACGGCUUACCAAGGCAACGAUGCAUAGCCGACCUGAGAGGGUGAUCGGCCACACUGGAACUGAGACACGGUCCAGACUCCUACGGGAGGCAGCAGUAGGGAAUCUUCCGCAAUGGGCGAAAGCCUGACGGAGCAACGCCGCGUGAGUGAUGAAGGUCUUCGGAUCGUAAAACUCUGUUAUUAGGGAAGAACAUAUGUGUAAGUAACUGUGCACAUCUUGACGGUACCUAAUCAGAAAGCCACGGCUAACUACGUG